UACGUAGGGUCCAAGCGUUAUCCGGAAUCACUGGGCGUAAAGCGUGCGUAGGUGGCGUGUUAAGUGUGAUGUUAAAUCGUGUGGCUCAACCAUAUCGAUGUGUCGCAUACUGGCAUGCUAGAGGGAAGCAGAGGCAAGUGGAAUUUGUAGUGUAGCAGUGAAAUGCGUAGAUAUUACAAGGAACACCAAUGGCGAAGGCAGCUUGCUGGGCUUCUUCUGACACUGAGGUACGAAAGCGUGGGGAGCGAACAGG
RNAcentral lists this ribosomal RNA (253 nucleotides) under uncultured bacterium. RNAcentral's name for it is "partial 16S ribosomal RNA". It matches the Rfam family "Bacterial small subunit ribosomal RNA", at positions 524 to 776 of the family's 1533-position model. The record is from RNAcentral.